GCUCCAGUGGUCUAAUGGUUAGAGCUUCCGCCUUGGAUGCGGGUGGGGUGGAGUCGCAGGUUCAAACCCCGGCCGAGUCA
Potamilus streckersoni is the source of this 80-nucleotide non-coding RNA. The record is from the annotation of a GenBank genome assembly. Lineage: Eukaryota; Metazoa; Mollusca; Bivalvia; Unionida; Unionidae.